Molecule: long non-coding RNA, 230 nt
Filed under: Mytilus galloprovincialis (Mediterranean mussel)
Lineage: Eukaryota; Metazoa; Mollusca; Bivalvia; Mytilida; Mytilidae
Source: RNAcentral
GAAAAUGUGGUAUGAUUGCAAAUAACACAAUGCUCCACAAAUGACCAAUUGACACUGGAAAUUAUUAACUAUGGGUCACCGUACUGCCUACAACAAUGAGCAAAUCCCAUACCGCAUACACAACUAUAAAAGGUCCCGAAAGGACAAAUGUAACACAAUUCAAACUAGAAAAUAAUAAAAAAAAAAAAUUAAUGAAAAACAAAUGUGUGACUCUUUUGCAAACAACAACC